UGGGGAAUAUUGCACAAUGGGGGGAACCCUGAUGCAGCGACGCCGCGUGAGGGAAGAAGGUUUUUCGGAUUGUAAACCUCUGUCCUUGGUGACGAUAAUGACGGUAGCCAAGGAGGAAGCCACGGCUAACUACGUGCCAGCAGCCGCGGUAAUACGUAGGUGGCAAGCGUUGUCCGGAAUUACUGGGUGUAAAGGGAGCGUAGGCGGGAAGACAAGUUGGGAGUGAAAUGUAUGGGCUUAACCCAUAAACUGCUUUCAAAACUGUUUUCUUGAGUGAAGUAGAGGCAGGCGGAAUUCCUAGUGUAGCGGUGAAAUGACGUAAAUAUUAGGAGGAACACCAGUGGCGAAGGCGGCCUGCU
This 359-nucleotide ribosomal RNA is filed under the name uncultured Oscillospiraceae bacterium. RNAcentral describes it as "bacterial SSU rRNA". It matches the Rfam family "Bacterial small subunit ribosomal RNA", at positions 355 to 730 of the family's 1533-position model. Lineage: Bacteria; Bacillati; Bacillota; Clostridia; Eubacteriales; Oscillospiraceae. The record is from RNAcentral.